This 85-nucleotide transfer RNA is filed under the name Cercophora newfieldiana. It matches the Rfam family "tRNA". From Rfam's summary of the family: Transfer RNA (tRNA) molecules are approximately 80 nucleotides in length. Their secondary structure includes four short double-helical elements and three loops (D, anti-codon, and T loops). The record is from Rfam by way of RNAcentral. Lineage: Eukaryota; Fungi; Ascomycota; Sordariomycetes; Sordariales; Lasiosphaeriaceae.
GGGCGUGUGGCUCAGUUGGUAGAGCGUUCGCUUAGCAUACUCACCGGUAUGCGAAAGGUCCUGGGUUCGAUUCCCAGCUCGUCCA